GCAUUAUGGGGCAUACCUCAGCCUGGUGGACCGGCUGCCUUUGGGGAGGUCGUCACCCCUUGGACAUGAACACUCUUUUAUAACAUCAUUUCCUUCAGUUUACAUUCAGGAAUUAAUCGUUUUCCGCCCAUCGUGUUGUGCGCCAAGAUUUUGUCUCCUAGAGUUCUGAGCAGAAGUGGAGAGAGGACGCCAUGCACCACCGCUUGUGGGAUUAGGCUUGUUCCGGAGUGGUCAGGCCAUGAUCUGGUGUCCAGGUGGUGGAGGGCACAGCCCUCUCGGCUCUUGGAGUCCGACUCAUUCUGAGGGAUGUAUGGUUGAGCUCCAUGACCUCCGAGGCUCCUUGCCAUUCUGUGAUGCUGGGACUGGAAGUCAAGAGGAGUUCAGCACCUGCUUUCUGAGCCAUCAUGGCCAUCUGCCAUCUCAGACUUAAUCUUAUCCAUCUUGGAGUCCACCACUUUUCAGCUGUGUGGGGAUGUUGCCAGCCUCCAAAACCACUAAAACGAUGAAAGAUGAUAAAAUGGCAGUGAUGUCACAUGAUCUGACCUAACAUAGGCCAGCUCGGAGCCAUGCCAGGAGCUGGAGAUGCAAAAGGAUGAAACACAGCUUCUGACCUGGAAGGGCUCAGAGCCCAGGAAGGAGGACACAGAUAGUUGGAGCACAAGUGAUACAGCUUCUGUUACAGAUGUGUACAAAGGGAGGCGUGUGGUACACCCCCAAGAGGGAGGGACCAAAACAAAGGCUUCCUAGGGAAGCCUCCUGGACUUUAGUAUGUGGAAUAAGAGAUUUUUGGUGAAGUUCUCAAAACUGACCUGCCAUGUUAGGAAUGCAUAGUAUGGUAGCUUUAUACAGUGUCAAUUUAGCCUCAGGUCUAACUGCUGUAAUAAAUCCUUUAUUCUCUAUCA
Mustela lutreola (European mink) is the source of this 902-nucleotide long non-coding RNA. RefSeq lists it as uncharacterized. The record is from RefSeq and is a predicted model, not a curated record. Lineage: Eukaryota; Metazoa; Chordata; Mammalia; Carnivora; Mustelidae. The transcript is spliced from 4 exons.